This 72-nucleotide transfer RNA is filed under the name virus sp. ctEfN2. RNAcentral describes it as "tRNA-Gln". It matches the Rfam family "tRNA". From Rfam's summary of the family: Transfer RNA (tRNA) molecules are approximately 80 nucleotides in length. The record is from RNAcentral.
UGGGCUAUCGUCAAGCGGUAAGACACAGCAUUUUGAUUGCUGCAUUCGUGGGUUCGAAUCCCACUAGCCUAG